RNAcentral lists this ribosomal RNA (267 nucleotides) under unidentified gamma proteobacterium groupDD. RNAcentral's name for it is "partial 16S small subunit ribosomal RNA". It matches the Rfam family "Bacterial small subunit ribosomal RNA", at positions 1106 to 1373 of the family's 1533-position model. Lineage: Bacteria; Pseudomonadati; Pseudomonadota; Gammaproteobacteria. The record is from RNAcentral.
UGUCCCUAUUUGCCAGCACGUAAUGGUGGGACUCUAAGGAGACUGCCGGUGACAAACCGGAGGAAGGUGGGGGCGACGUCAAGUCAUCAUGGCCCUUAUGGGAUGGGCUACACACGUGCUACAAUGGCAGGUACAGAGGGCAGCAAUACCGCGAGGUGGAGCGAAUCCCACAAAGCUUGUCGUAGUCCGGAUUGGAGUCUGCAACUCGACUCCAUGAAGUCGGAAUCGCUAGUAAUCGUAAAUCAGAAUGCUACGGUGAAUACGUUC